This 393-nucleotide ribosomal RNA is filed under the name uncultured bacterium. RNAcentral's name for it is "partial 16S ribosomal RNA". It matches the Rfam family "Bacterial small subunit ribosomal RNA", at positions 523 to 918 of the family's 1533-position model. The record is from RNAcentral.
AUACGGAGGAUGCGAGCGUUAUCCGGAUUUAUUGGGUUUAAAGGGAGCGUAGGUGGGAUAUUAAGUCAGCUGUGAAAGUUUGCGGCUCAACCGUAAAAUUGCAGUUGAUACUGGUCGUCUUGAGUGCAGUAGAGGUAGGCGGAAUUCGUGGUGUAGCGGUGAAAUGCUUAGAUAUCACGAAGAACUCCGAUUGCGAAGGCAGCUUACUGGACUGUAACUGACGCUGAUGCUCGAAAGUGUGGGUAUCAAACAGGAUUAGAUACCCUGGUAGUCCACACAGUAAACGAUGAAUACUCGCUGUUUGCGAUAUACAGCAAGCGGCCAAGCGAAAGCAUUAAGUAUUCCACCUGGGGAGUACGCCGGCAACGGUGAAACUCAAAUGAAUUGGCGGGG